CGGGGCCGGCGACGGGUCUCCUGCGGACCGGGCCGGUCCAGCAGGCAGCGGCGGCGCGAGGAGGGGGUCUAGGAGGCCACGGGAGAAGUCCGGUCCGGGGUAGGUGGCGGCGGCCAAGGUCGGGGACGGGUUUGUGGCCGGCAGCGGCGGCCAGAGGAGGAUGAGGCGUUUCCGGCCGGGCGCGGGUGAAACCAACCGUUUUUAUCAGAGUACUGGUAUCGUUGAAAUCGGAGAUUGGAGAUCUAGCGUUUUGGGAGAAGGUAUUCGGUUGGUUGAUCCGUAAAGAUUUUUCGUUCCGAAAAUCUUCGAUAUCUAUUCGGAUCGUUUUUUCCGCUAAAAAUCGAAAAGUGGCGGUUAUUUGUCAGAUCGGGCCGAUAUACGGUAUCUCCUAGACUUGCUCUAAGAUGGACGGAAAGUUGCGAUCUACUCGGUUCGAACUAGUUUCUUAACGAGUUUGAGCCAUCAAGGACAAGAAUAGAACAACAUUGAGCUAUUAUCUGCUGUGGAAGCACCUUGCAUAAAUGAUACUACCUUCUUGGAGAAACAAUAUAUGACCCCCUAAGAGAAGAGUUUGGAAAGUUGGGAAAAUUCACAUGCGUUUUUUCAAGAAAGCUGGGAGAGCACAGUUUUUCGGACAAGUUCAUACUGGAACUAGCUGAAAAGACAAGAACUUGUAUGUAGGUUGUUACAAAUCAUGCAACACAAAAUUCAUCAAAAUUAAUCCCUAUUAAAUUUAUUUCUCAGUCGACUUAAAAAUAUUUAUUUCUAUUCUAA
RNAcentral lists this long non-coding RNA (774 nucleotides) under Brachypodium distachyon (stiff brome). RNAcentral describes it as "long non-coding RNA (BDIS_LNC004593)". Lineage: Eukaryota; Viridiplantae; Streptophyta; Magnoliopsida; Poales; Poaceae. The record is from RNAcentral.